This 782-nucleotide ribosomal RNA is filed under the name Venturia albae. Its description in RNAcentral is "partial large subunit ribosomal RNA". It matches the Rfam family "Eukaryotic large subunit ribosomal RNA", at positions 103 to 908 of the family's 3401-position model. The record is from RNAcentral. Lineage: Eukaryota; Fungi; Ascomycota; Dothideomycetes; Venturiales; Venturiaceae.
AACAGCUCAAAUUUGAAAUCUGGCGCAAGCCCGAGUUGUAAUUUGUAGAGGAUGUUUCGGGUGAAGCCACGGUCCAAGUCCCUUGGAACAGGACGUCAUAGAGGGUGAGAACCCCGUACCUGGCCGUCGGUGCCCCCCGCUGUGAAACUCCUUCGACGAGUCGAGUUGUUUGGGAAUGCAGCUCUAAAUUGGUGGUAAAUUCCAUCUAAAGCUAAAUACCGGCCAGAGACCGAUAGCGCACAAGUAGAGUGAUCGAAAGAUGAAAAGCACUUUGAAAAGAGAGUUAAAAAGUACGUGAAAUUGUUGAAAGGGAAGCGCUUGCGGCCAGACUUGCCCGCGGUUGCUCAGCCCGCCUUUUGGCGGGUGCACUCUUCCGCGGUCAGGCCAGCAUCGGUUUGGGCGGUCGGAUAAAGGCGUUGGGAACGUGGCCUCCCCUCGGGGAGGUGUUAUAGCCCGGCGCGCAAUGCGACCAGCCCGGACCGAGGUUCGCGCUUUGCUAGGAUGCUGGCGUAAUGGCCGUAAGCGGCCCGUCUUGAAACACGGACCAAGGAGUCUAACAUCUAUGCGAGUGUUUGGGUGUCAAACCCGUGCGCGUAAUGAAAGUGAACGGAGGUGGGAACCGCAAGGUGCACCAUCGACCGAUCCUGAUGUCUUCGGAAGGAUUUGAGUAAGAGCAUAGCUGUUGGGACCCGAAAGAUGGUGAACUAUGCGUGAAUAGGGUGAAGCCAGAGGAAACUCUGGUGGAGGCUCGCAGCGGUUCUGACGUGCAAAUCGAUCGUCAA